Non-coding RNA from Pelobates cultripes (western spadefoot toad), 363 nucleotides. Lineage: Eukaryota; Metazoa; Chordata; Amphibia; Anura; Pelobatidae. The record is from the annotation of a GenBank genome assembly.
UGUAGACAGAUAACAUGGCAGGUUGUCAUGGUAACCCUGGGUUAGACUGACCCUGGUCCUGGAGGGGUGGGCAAGCAGGACAGACCCUGGAAUAACCUGGGACCCCUCAAGACUAGACGGGACCAAAUUCACAACGGCCGGGAACCGAGCAAUUCUUUUUUUGGUUGUUGCUAAGCCGUCCCUAAAAAAUAUGGCCCAAAUUUUAGCGAAUGGACCCGUGGAAUCUACAGUGGAAACCGAUGCCCGCCGGGAGACUGGACGUGAGAUGGACUAUUGGAUUAAAAACAGAAAGAGUGGCCAAAAAAGGGUUUAGAGAAAAACUAAUGAAGGGGUAUAAAAAAAAGAAACAUUCGUUAAAUAAAA